GGUGUGAUGUAUGGAGAGAGUUAGACUCUGUGAUGUGAUGUAUGGAGAGAGUUAGACUCUGUGAUGUAUGGAGAGAGUUAGGCUCUGUGAUGUAUGGAGAGAGUUAGACUCUGUGAUGUGAUGUAUGGAGAGAGUUAGACUCUGUGAUGUAUGGAGACAGUUAGACUCUGUGUUGUGUGGAGAUCUACUAGCCAGCGUAGUGUGAGGCUCUGUGAUGUAUGGAGAGAGUUAGGCUCUGUGAUGUAUGGAGAGAGUUAGACUCUGUGAUGUGAUGUAUGGAGAGAGUUAGGCUCUGUGAUGUGAUGUAUGGAGAGAGUUAGACUGUGAUGUAUAGAGAGAGUUA
Molecule: long non-coding RNA, 343 nt
Organism: Oncorhynchus tshawytscha (Chinook salmon)
Lineage: Eukaryota; Metazoa; Chordata; Actinopteri; Salmoniformes; Salmonidae
Source: Ensembl